GAUAACAUUUUGUUGACCGGUGA
Molecule: non-coding RNA, 23 nt
Filed under: Arabidopsis thaliana (thale cress)
Lineage: Eukaryota; Viridiplantae; Streptophyta; Magnoliopsida; Brassicales; Brassicaceae
Source: RNAcentral